This 482-nucleotide ribosomal RNA is filed under the name uncultured bacterium. RNAcentral describes it as "partial 16S ribosomal RNA". It matches the Rfam family "Bacterial small subunit ribosomal RNA", at positions 30 to 507 of the family's 1533-position model. The record is from RNAcentral.
AUUGAACGCUGGCGGCAUGCCUUACACAUGCAAGUCGAACGGUAACGGGCCUUCGGGUGCCGACGAGUGGCGAACGGGUGAGUAAUACAUCGGAACGUGCCCGAUCGUGGGGGAUAACGAGGCGAAAGCUUUGCUAAUACCGCAUACGAUCUACGGAUGAAAGCAGGGGACCGCAAGGCCUUGCGCGGACGGAGCGGCCGAUGGCAGAUUAGGUAGUUGGUGGGAUAAAAGCUUACCAAGCCGACGAUCUGUAGCUGGUCUGAGAGGAUGAUCAGCCACACUGGGACUGAGACACGGCCCAGACUCCUACGGGAGGCAGCAGUGGGGAAUUUUGGACAAUGGGCGCAAGCCUGAUCCAGCCAUGCCGCGUGCAGGAUGAAGGCCUUCGGGUUGUAAACUGCUUUUGUACGGAACGAAAAGCCUUCUUUUAAUACAGGAGGGUCAUGACGCUACCGUAAGAAUAAGCACCGGCUGACUACGUG